GACGAACGCUGGCGGCGUGCUUAACACAUGCAAGUCGAACGAGAUCCAAUGUGUAGCAAUACACAGGAAGAUCUAGUGGCGAACGGGUGAGGAACACGUGAGAAACGUACCCCAGACUUUGGGAUAACAGUCCGAAAGGACUGCUAAUACCAAAUAACGUCGGAAGUCCGCAUGGACAUCUGACGAAAGGGAUUCCGGUUUGGGAGCGUCUCGCGGACCUAUCAGCUAGUUGGAGGGGUAACGGCCCACCAAGGCAACGACGGGUAGCUGGUCUGAGAGGAUGGUCAGCCACACUGGGACUGAGACACGGCCCAGACUCCUACGGGAGGCAGCAGUGGGGAAUCUUGCGCAAUGGGCGAAAGCCUGACGCAGCAACGCCGCGUGCGGGAAGAAGGCUUUCGGGCUGUAAACCGCUUUCAGUAGGAACGAAACUGACGGUACCUACAGAAGAAGGAGCGGCCAACUAUGU
This 469-nucleotide ribosomal RNA is filed under the name uncultured bacterium. RNAcentral describes it as "partial 16S ribosomal RNA". It matches the Rfam family "Bacterial small subunit ribosomal RNA", at positions 28 to 506 of the family's 1533-position model. The record is from RNAcentral.